This is a long non-coding RNA of Bombyx mori (domestic silkworm), 670 nucleotides long. RefSeq lists it as uncharacterized. NCBI's taxonomy places the organism in Eukaryota, Metazoa, Arthropoda, Insecta, Lepidoptera, Bombycidae. The transcript is spliced from 2 exons. The record is from RefSeq and is a predicted model, not a curated record.
AUUAACCUUAACUUUUACUGUAUAAUACUGUACUUUGAAUGUGUAAUGUAUCUAAUAAUUCAGAAGUAUUUUUUUUACCACAUUAGACAGACGACCAUAAGGCAUAGCGAGUGGUUACCGUUACUCAUGAGUAUUAGGAAUGACAAGGUGACAAGGGAUUACUGGCGUCCUGGAGGCCUUUCCAGUUUCACCAGGACAGGUGAGCGAGCAAAGACUCAGCCAGAAGCGGUGGGAUUUGCUAACAGCUGCCCGAGCGCCUCCGAAGGAGAUCUAACAACUCAAGAGCAACUGCUUCGCGAAUGAAUCCACUUCCGGAUCGGAAUCGCGACCCGCUGAGAAGAUCCAGCGAGAAACGUGCUGAUGCGUGGGUUAGGUUGCACGUCGACCUCUUUGUCGAGCUCGACGAGUACGGUUACCGGCGUCCCUAAACCUGCUCCUAGUGUUAGAGCUGAAGGCGUCUAAUGCUAAGGUAACGGAUGGACAAUUAAUAAAUUAAUGAAUGGAUCCGUAAGGACGUGUCUAGGGCGUCGACUGUGACUGGCUCCUGCGUGAUCAGGAUUUCAAUUGCAUCAACUUGACUUAAACUUCCUCAGAAUUUAACGAUUAGGAACAAUUACUUUUUUGAUACAAUAAACCAGAUUUCGCCUUCAGUAUUUAUUUAAAAAAUGGA